Molecule: ribosomal RNA, 465 nt
Filed under: Vreelandella stevensii
Lineage: Bacteria; Pseudomonadati; Pseudomonadota; Gammaproteobacteria; Oceanospirillales; Halomonadaceae
Description: partial 16S ribosomal RNA
Rfam family: Bacterial small subunit ribosomal RNA
Source: RNAcentral
CCUACGGGCGGCAGCAGUGGGGAAUAUUGGACAAUGGGGGCAACCCUGAUCCAGCCAUGCCGCGUGUGUGAAGAAGGCCCUCGGGUUGUAAAGCACUUUCAGUGAGGAAGAACACCUGGUGGUUAAUACCCAUCAGGAAAGACAUCACUCACAGAAGAAGCACCGGCUAACUCCGUGCCAGCAGCCGCGGUAAUACGGAGGGUGCGAGCGUUAAUCGGAAUUACUGGGCGUAAAGCGCGCGUAGGUGGCUUGAUAAGCCGGUUGUGAAAGCCCCGGGCUCAACCUGGGAACGGCAUCCGGAACUGUCAAGCUAGAGUGCAGGAGAGGAAGGUAGAAUUCCCGGUGUAGCGGUGAAAUGCGUAGAGAUCGGGAGGAAUACCAGUGGCGAAGGCGGCCUUCUGGACUGACACUGACACUGAGGUGCGAAAGCGUGGGUAGCAAACAGGAUUAGAUACCCCGGUAGUC